GAUUGUUAUUCCAUAGCUAGCUGGAUGUAAUCAUGGUAAUUUCCAAGUCUCCUAGUUUAGGAGAUUUUCUUCCUCUUCCCACUUGUAUUAUAUAUUGAAGGGUUGUAGAAACUUGAUGUAUAUAAAAGAAAUAAAAAAGAAUUAUUCUUGUCGUCAAUAGCUUAAUGUCGUCCGACUCCUCUUACGGUGAGGCAGAAAUCAAUUCUGCAAUAAACUCAACUAGAAGAGAAAAUACUUCUUUUCAACUAACGGUAGAGAAGUUGAAUGGAAGAAAUUUCAGGGAGUGGGUGCAAUCAAUUAAAUUGGUAAUCGGGGCAAAGGAAAGCUCGAUUACCUGACUAGAGAAGCUAAAAAGCCAGCUGAUUAUGUUCUCUUGCAAAAGUAGAAAUCUGAAAACUCGAUGGUCAUGGCGUGGUUGGUGAAUUCGAUGAAUCCAUCCAUUGGAAAAAUAUAUCUUUUCCUACCAACGGCAAAAGAUAUAUUGGAAGUUGUCAAAGAAAUGUAUUCAAAUUCAGAAAACUCAUGCCAUAUCUUUGAAAUCAAAACGAGGCUGUGGCAAACCAAAUAAGAGGAGAGGGACAUUAUGGAUUACUACUUGGAAAUGAACUCUUUGUGGCAAGAACUCAAUCUCAGUGGCGAAGAAGAAUGAGAAUGUGCUGGAGAUAAUGUCAAGUAUAAGAAAAAGCUCGAAAACGAACGGGUUUAUGAAUUCCUUUCUGGCCUCAACCGCAAACUUGAUGAUGAAGAGGAAGAAAUUUGGCUCGACGGCAACUGUCCUCAACACACGAAGUCUUCGCUGAAGUACAGAGAGAAUAGAACUGUCGAAAAGUGAGAUGAAGACUGGGACAGCCUGAGAUACAGAGAUAUCUACGCUUCUGUCGACUGAAAUUAGAUUUGCUGGGUGUGAAAAUGGACCAUUAUAUAGGCGAAAGGUUGUGAAUAUAUCACGUGGGCCAGAAAAGAAUUAACUUGGGCCUGAAAUGAAUAAAUUUUGGCCCUCUUUUGGACUUGGAAACUUUGGAGCUAUUGGGCCUAUCAAAUUUGGGCCAGGGAUAACAAAUUUAUCAAAGGGAGCAACAACAAAAGGGACAGCCUUUGUGCGAACACUGUCACAAAUCGAGAAUAAAGAAGAUACCUGUUGGGACAUACAUGGGAAGUCCACUGAUUGGAAACCAAGAAAAAGUAUUAAAAAUCGUGUCUAUCAAGUUUCAGCCGAUCAGACAGGGACAUCUAAGGAAAUGAAAAAUGGAGAAUUCAACAGUUAGCAAUUAGAACAACUCUACCAGAUUUUCUUCUAGUCUCCAAACUUCGAGUCAUUCUUCUGCACACAAUCCUUAAAGCUCAUUAGCCCACAAAGGACCUAUCAUCGGGGACUACGAUUGGCAGUGCUAAAGAAUGUGAUGGACUUUACUAUUUUGACAAGGCUGAUGUGAGUACACAAUGUCAACCUGCAAUUUAUAAUUCUAUGUUUACCUAUAGGGAUAGUGAUAUUCUAUUGUGGCAUUGUAGAAUGAGCCAUCCCAAUUUUCAAUACUUACAACGUAUGCUUCCUUCUUUAUUUUCGAAUAAAACAUCUAUUUACUUUUAA
Molecule: long non-coding RNA, 1588 nt
Organism: Olea europaea var. sylvestris
Lineage: Eukaryota; Viridiplantae; Streptophyta; Magnoliopsida; Lamiales; Oleaceae
Exons: 2
Source: RefSeq, a predicted model, not a curated record